CCUACGGGUGGCAGCAGUGAGGAAUAUUGGUCAAUGGCCGUAAGGCUGAACCAGCCAAGUCGCGUGAAGGAAGAAGGAUCUAUGGUUUGUAAACUUCUUUUAUAGGGGAAUAAAGGUAUCCACGUGUGGCUAUUUGCAUGUACCCUAUGAAUAAGCAUCGGCUAACUCCGUGCCAGCAGCCGCGGUCAUACGUAGGAUCCGAGCAUUAUCCGGAGUGACUGGGUGUAAAGAGUUGCGUAGGUGGCAUAAUAAGUAGCUAGUGAAAUCUGGUGGCUAAACCAUUCAGACUAUUAGCUAAACUGUGAAGCUCGAGACCGUUAGGGGUAACUGGAAUUUCUAGUGUAGGAGUGAAAUCCGUAGAUAUUAGAAGGAACACCAAUAGCGUAGGCAGGUUACUGGGACGGUUCUGACACGAAGGCACGAAAGCGUAGGGAGCAAACGGGAUUAGAUACCCCAGUAGUC
RNAcentral lists this ribosomal RNA (462 nucleotides) under uncultured bacterium. Its description in RNAcentral is "partial 16S ribosomal RNA". It matches the Rfam family "Bacterial small subunit ribosomal RNA", at positions 338 to 795 of the family's 1533-position model. The record is from RNAcentral.